RNAcentral lists this transfer-messenger RNA (350 nucleotides) under Coriobacteriales bacterium. It matches the Rfam family "transfer-messenger RNA". Rfam says of the family: Bacterial tmRNA, also known as 10Sa RNA or SsrA, is named for its dual tRNA and mRNA-like properties. Its role is to liberate the mRNA from a stalled ribosome. Lineage: Bacteria; Bacillati; Actinomycetota; Coriobacteriia; Coriobacteriales. The record is from RNAcentral.
GGGGGCGACUGGUUUCGACAUAGAUGUUUUGAGAGUGGAAGCAGGUCGUGGUCUCCUCGCCACGUUAAACAGGGGUACUGUCAAUUUAAUUGGCAAACGUGAACUUGCUCUCGCUGCCUGAUUGAGCGGCGACGUUGACUCCGGGUACUUUCCCGCCCCGGAGAAGACGCCAUUUAGGGAAAUGCUCCUGCGCACGUAGCCGGUAUGGCACAGGAAAAGACGGAACCGACUGGCGACGGUCAGCCUUGUCUGCUGAGUUGGCCUGAGCGAAACUGAUCGACAGACUGAGCCUGGAGAUGCCACUCGCGACGCAUGUAUGGACCGGAGUUCGAUUCUCCGCGCCUCCACCA